GCCAGUGUGGUGUAGUGGUUUGAGUGUUGGACUAUGACUCUGGAGACUAGGGUUCAAUUCCCAGAUUGGUCA
Molecule: transfer RNA, 72 nt
Filed under: Phrynosoma platyrhinos (Desert horned lizard)
Lineage: Eukaryota; Metazoa; Chordata; Lepidosauria; Squamata; Phrynosomatidae
Description: tRNA-OTHER
Source: RNAcentral